UUUGUUUAUUUUGUUUGAAGGCACAACCUUUGGCCUAUGUUGAGUGAUUUAGUCAGUUCACAUGUGGCAGAGAGCAAUUCCCGGAGGAUUAGCUCAGGUUCCGAAACAAUCACUUGGCGCAUGAUAUAUGGAAUGAACGAUAGUUUUGGGUGUCUUUACUUGUGAGUACCAGGCACCAGUAGGCGUAAAUCCAACCAAAGAAUCAUCAGAAUUGAUUAUCUAAUUCCCCAACAGUUAUUAGAGACAAUGAAGAGGUUCGACCAAAGCAUCCUCCCGCUGCUCGACACCGAUGUCUUCCCAGCAUCCUCCCGCUAACCGAUAUGUUCCCAGGAGCAUCAGCACAGGACAUAACAGGGCAGCAUAGGACAGCUCUAGCUGGUGCUGCAUAUGCAAAGCCAAAUCUAAUGGUUACCACUGUAUAUAUAUAUAUCUCAGAGCCAAUCACAAAACAGAGCCAAGACUUUAGGAGCGACACUGCAUUAUAUGAGCAUGCUUAAUUCUGUAAAUAGACAAGGAAUAGGUAGACCAUGCAAAUGUACAAGGGAAUUACAGGGAAGAUAAACAAGGUUGAUUGCAUGUGAACCAUAUGAAUACAUAGCUGUUUCUAGAUGGCACAAACAAGAGUUAUAUAAAAACACAAGAAAGUCAUUAGAGAGGGAGAAGGGGAAGGAGUGAGGGAGAGAGAGGCAGGCAGAGAGGCAAAUUGUUAGCUCAAAUCCUCAAAAGUUGAAGAGGGACAAAUAGACAGAGAGAGGUGUGUUUCACUAGAGCCCCUCCGAUUUUUCCUCAUUCAAAAUGUUAGGUUAACCAAAUCUCGCAGCCUGCCUAGCCUA
Long non-coding RNA from Lolium perenne, 833 nucleotides. RefSeq lists it as uncharacterized. The record is from RefSeq and is a predicted model, not a curated record. Lineage: Eukaryota; Viridiplantae; Streptophyta; Magnoliopsida; Poales; Poaceae.